This is a long non-coding RNA of Bos taurus (domestic cattle), 1046 nucleotides long. The record is from Ensembl. Lineage: Eukaryota; Metazoa; Chordata; Mammalia; Artiodactyla; Bovidae.
UCAAUUCUGAUUGCAGAUUUUAUUGAUAAAAUUGACAACAAUGUAUCUGAAGAAUAUAUGUUAAUGUAAAAGAAAGAAAACCUGAUUGGACUCUAAAUGAAGCCUAAAAUUUAAAGUCAAAAGUAACCUUGCCCAUCCAGCCCUGCUGAGAGGGAGGAAACACUAUCAGAUGUGUGCAGCCAUCCCAGCUUCUAGAACGGGGGCUGUAAGGCAGGCAGUGCAGGCUGUUAGCAUCCCCAGGGUCCACAGCCCAGUGCUUUAGAUGUUAUGCUCUUCUUCAGCUCUUGGUUCAUCUCUCCUUGAACCUUUCACUCCAGCCUUAUCUAAAUACCAGAGUUUCUCAGGCACACCUUGCAAAACCUUGGUAACAAUCAAGGGGUUAAAUCUAAAUCUUUCAAAUCAAUAAGAACAAAAGUAAACACCCUAAUAGAAAAACAGGCAUGGACACAAAUAGGCAAUUUACAAAAGAAGAUACACAAAUUCCAAUAAAAUAGGGGAAAAUACUCAGCCUCACUAUUAAUCAAAGAAGUACAAUCGAAGGAACAGGAAGGUACUAGUCUUCGACAAUCAAUGGACAAACAAAUGCUAAUAUGCUGUGGGGAUUUGAACACCCAGGUGGCGCUGCUGGUAAAGAACCCACCUGCCAAUGCAGGACACCUAAGAGACUCUGGUUUGAGACUCCAUGGGGCCCGGAAGAUCUGGAAGAGGGCACGGCAACCCACCCCAGUAUUCUUCCCUGAGACUCCCAUGGACAAAGGAGCCUGGUGGGCUACGGUCCAUAGGGUUGCAAAGAGUCAGACAUGACGGAAGCAACUUAGCACACACGUGCAUAUUGCUAGUAGGGAUAUAAUCAGCUUCUAUCUUUUUAGGGGGAAUAUUUGCCUUGUCUAUCAAAGGCUGUAAAAUAUGCUUUGCCUUUGAUUCAGUGAUACAAUUUUAGGAAUGUAUAUAAAGGAAACGAUCAUACAAACAUUUUAAAAAAUCUAUAGGCAAAGAUUCAUGGCAGCAUUGCUUAUAAUACUGAAAAGUUAAAAACAACCCAAAAU